CAUGCAAGNCGAGCGGCAGCGGGUCCUUCGGGAUGCCGGCGAGCGGCGGACGGGUGAGUAAUGCCUAGGAAUCUGCCUGGUAGUGGGGGAUAACUCGGGGAAACUCGAGCUAAUACCGCAUACGUCCUACGGGAGAAAGCGGGGGAUCUUCGGACCUCGCGCUACCAGAUGAGCCUAGGUCGGAUUAGCUAGUUGGUGAGGUAAAGGCUCACCAAGGCGACGAUCCGUAGCUGGUCUGAGAGGAUGAUCAGCCACACUGGAACUGAGACACGGUCCAGACUCCUACGGGAGGCAGCAGUGGGGAAUAUUGGACAAUGGGCGAAAGCCUGAUCCAGCCAUGCCGCGUGUGUGAAGAAGGUCUUCGGAUUGUAAAGCACUUUAAGUUGGGAGGAAGGGCAGUAAGUUAAUACCUUGCUGUUUUGACGUUACCGACAGAAUAAGCACCGGCUAACUUCGUGCCAGCAGCCGCGGUAAUACGAAGGGUGC
This 486-nucleotide ribosomal RNA is filed under the name uncultured bacterium. RNAcentral's name for it is "bacterial SSU rRNA". It matches the Rfam family "Bacterial small subunit ribosomal RNA", at positions 54 to 535 of the family's 1533-position model. The record is from RNAcentral.